GAAAUUCCGGUGAAAAUGCUUUCGGACACGGGUUCGAUUCCCGUCAUCUCCACCA
Molecule: transfer-messenger RNA, 55 nt
Filed under: Bacillota bacterium
Lineage: Bacteria; Bacillati; Bacillota
Description: partial transfer-messenger RNA
Rfam family: transfer-messenger RNA
About the family: Bacterial tmRNA, also known as 10Sa RNA or SsrA, is named for its dual tRNA and mRNA-like properties. Its role is to liberate the mRNA from a stalled ribosome.
Source: RNAcentral